UGGCAUCGAUGAAGAACGCAGCGAAAUGCGAUAAGUAAUGUGAAUUGCAGAAUUCAGUGAAUCAUCGAAUCUUUGAACGCACAUUGCGCCCGCCAGUAUUCUGGCGGGCAUGCCUGUUCGAGCGUCAUUUCAACCAUCAAGCCCCGGGCUUGUGUUGG
Molecule: ribosomal RNA, 158 nt
Filed under: Chaetomium globosum
Lineage: Eukaryota; Fungi; Ascomycota; Sordariomycetes; Sordariales; Chaetomiaceae
Description: 5.8S ribosomal RNA
Rfam family: 5.8S ribosomal RNA (bases 3-127)
About the family: 5.8S ribosomal RNA (5.8S rRNA) is a component of the large subunit of the eukaryotic ribosome. It is transcribed by RNA polymerase I as part of the 45S precursor that also contains 18S and 28S rRNA.
Source: RNAcentral